GAGGUUUGAGCUAUUGCUAAAGGCCUUCCCACACUCUGCACAUAUGUAACGUUUCUCUCCUGGAGCAGGCCUAGCAGACGCUGGUUCUGCCCCUUUCCUGGAUCCCGUGUCUUGAAGAGAGGCUUUUGCCCCUCUCUCCCUUUCCAGGUUGUUGGCCCACUGCCUUUCUGACCUCGAUCCAUACUUAUUGGCAGUGAUCAUGGGCAUGAUGUUUCUUUUGAGUCCACCUGCAUGAGACUCUUCUUCAGAACUUCUCUGCUCAUCUGCUGAGUCCUCCUUCUGCGGAUUCAAUUUAAAACCUGGAAACAGGUGGGUUAAGCGUGUUAGUUGUUCCUUUUCUGAGGGAGCUGUUGCAGGGAACAGGACCACCAGGUGAGGUAGUAGAUGUGACGUGUGAAUCUAACAGCAAUAAAAUAAAACCCUUGUCCCAUCUAUUAUGGUCUGCAUUCACAAGACCCUGCCUGCUAUGUCAAUCACCUGAUUAUUUUACAAUUCAGUCUCUAGAAAGACUCUCCCCACUCCGCCCUCCUGGACGCUUGGGAACAGUCUAAAUUACACUGAGGUUCUGUUUGUGGCUUCACACUCGCUUCUGCAAAGUACUCAGAGCCAACAGUUACGUGAAGAAUUUCUGGUUUUAAGGGUUUCUCAGUCAUGCAGAUAAAGGAAAGUCAAAGCUCAAGUUCUAGCCAGGUAAACGCCAGGUUUCAACGCCUUAGGUUUGACUGAGAUCCACUCAGAGCUCAGACAGACGGGCCAAUUUCCUCUGUACCCUGUGCUACUGGCUUCCUCUUCCCAUCCAGUGCACCUUCUCAGGGCACCUAAGUUUCUUUGAGACUUUAAGCGAGGCCAUCAUUGCCAACUCCUCUCUCUUAAGAGCACUUAAAAGCCUUUUCUCUAAACUGGGCACUAAAACUUUAGUGAUGUAUGUCUUUUAUCCCAGCACUUGGGAGCCAGAGGCAGGCACAUCUCUGUCUUUUGCGGCAGCCUAGUUUACAUAGUUCCAGGCCAGGUAGAGACCAAAACAAAAGACAAAAACAAAAUUAAAAAACAAGUCACAAACACAAAACAGAAUAGCCACAAUGACCCCAUGACAACACAACAACAAACAGCCCAUUUCCAGCUCUGGUAAUACUUCCUGGCUCUCCACUUUGUGUAGAACUGACAAGUGACUAUGAAAAGGGCAAUGAAUGGAAGGAGAUGAUUUACCCUAUUUUAAUUUUUUUUCUUUCAACUGUCAUAAUUUACCCUUAAGUCUUUACAGUUGAAUACAAUUCCAUUGUGUGUGUAUACAUUUUCUUUAUCCAUUGACUCAUAGGCUGCUUCUGUAUUUUGGAUCUAUAUUUGGGAAUAGAGCUGUGGUAAAAAUUGGCCCAUCUCUGUGAUACACGGAUUCACAAUCCUACAGAUAGGAAGCAGGGUACAGUGGUCUUAUCUCUAAUCCCAGCACUUGGGAGAGGUGGAGGGAGGACCAGAAGUUCAAGGUCACCUUCUCUUACUAAGCACUUUUGAGGCCAGUAGCCUACUUUAAUUAAGAAAACAAACAAGUUUUUUGUGUGUGGGUGUUUUGUCUACAUGUAUGUAAGUGUGCUUCGUGCAUGCCUGGUGCUGUGGAGGGCAGAAAAGGGGACCAGCUCACCUGGAACUGCAGUUGUGGACUGUUUUAAGCUACCAUAUGGGUGCUGAGAACUGAAAAUGUUCCUCUGCAAAAGUACCAAGUGUUUGUAACUGUAGACCCAUGUUUCUAGUCACAAUUAUCCCAGUCUUUAAAAGAUUUAUUUUCAUGUAUGUGUGUGUCUCAUUUCUUAUGCCCAUGAAUCUGCCACACAUAUGAGGGUGUCUGCAAAGGCCAAAGAGGCCAUUAGAUCUCUUUAAGUGGGAGUCCCAGGCAGUUGUGAGCAACUGUGUGAAUGUAGGAACUGGACUGAAGCUUUUGUCCUCUGUAAGAGCAGCAACUGUUGAUCUGCUGAGUCAUCUCUCCAAGGAGGAGGAAGGAGAAGCUGCUACAGGUUAGGAGUCAAGAAAACGUGGCCCUGAGAGCCGGCCAAUUAGCUGAGGGUUAUCCAUAGCAAAGUAGAUUCUAGUGGCACAGAGGGGAGGUUUCUGCCCAGCUCUUGUCCUGUCAAGGAAAUUAUUGUAAACAAUAAAAGUUGUGUGUCUUUUAUCUGGGAACUAAAUGGUCAAAGGUAGGGUAGAAACCCCAGAUUGGGAUUAAAAAUUUCAACAAC
RNAcentral lists this long non-coding RNA (2225 nucleotides) under Rattus norvegicus (Norway rat). RNAcentral describes it as "long non-coding RNA NONRATT007821". Lineage: Eukaryota; Metazoa; Chordata; Mammalia; Rodentia; Muridae. The record is from RNAcentral.